GUUAUAAUGCAUCGUCAUCAGUGUUUCUAUGUAGAUUGUAGAGUCGUUGGGGUGGGGGUGGGGUGGGGGCGCCGGUGUUGCUAUGUAGCAUCAUGGGGUACGUCGUUGCUGCGAUGCAGCAUCACCGGAGUUCCCGGUGUUGCUAUGCAUCGUCGUCGGUGUUUCUAUGCAGCGUCGUUGGGGUUGCCGGUGUUGCUAUGUAGCGUCAUCGGGGUCGUCGGUGUUGUGAUGUAACAUCAUCGGCGCUUCAACGAAGCAUUGGGAUGCUGCGAUGAAGCGUCGCAUGUCCGAUACGGGGUCUUGCACCGCUCUGAUCAGUGUAAACUUGUGAAAUGGGAGUAAGAUGUGGGACGAGGAAGACGAGCUAUGUUUACGCGAACUUGUGAUCGAACCGUCACGCGCGCCUAUUCAGACGGCUUGUCACGCAAUUUAUUUU
Molecule: long non-coding RNA, 436 nt
Filed under: Hordeum vulgare
Lineage: Eukaryota; Viridiplantae; Streptophyta; Magnoliopsida; Poales; Poaceae
Description: long non-coding RNA (HVUL_LNC001915)
Source: RNAcentral